UUUAUGGAGAGUUUGAUCCUGGCUCAGGAUGAACGCUGGCGGCGUGCCUAAUACAUGCAAGUCGAGCGAACAGAUAAGGAGCUUGCUCCUUUGACGUUAGCGGCGGACGGGUGAGUAACACGUGGAUAACCUACCUAUAAGACUGGGAUAACUUCGGGAAACCGGAGCUAAUACCGGAUAACAUAUUGAACCGCAUGGUUCAAUAGUGAAAGGCGGCUUUGCUGUCACUUAUAGAUGGAUCCGCGCCGUAUUAGCUAGUUGGUAAGGUAACGGCUUACCAAGGCAACGAUACGUAGCCGACCUGAGAGGGUGAUCGGCCACACUGGAACUGAGACACGGUCCAGACUCCUACGGGAGGCAGCAGUAGGGAAUCUUCCGCAAUGGGCGAAAGCCUGACGGAGCAACGCCGCGUGAGUGAUGAAGGUCUUCGGAUCGUAAAACUCUGUUAUCAGGGAAGAACAAAUGUGUAAGUAACUGUGCACAUCUUGACGGUACCUGAUCAGAAAGCCACGGCUAACUACGUGCCAGCAGCCGCGGUAAUACGUAGGUGGCAAGCGUUAUCCGGAAUUAUUGGGCGUAAAGCGCGCGUAGGCGGUUUUUUAAGUCUGAUGUGAAAGCCCACGGCUCAACCGUGGAGGGUCAUUGGAAACUGGAAAACUUGAGUGCAGAAGAGGAAAGUGGAAUUCCAUGUGUAGCGGUGAAAUGCGCAGAGAUAUGGAGGAACACCAGUGGCGAAGGCGACUUUCUGGUCUGUAACUGACGCUGAUGUGCGAAAGCGUGGGGA
This 784-nucleotide ribosomal RNA is filed under the name Listeria monocytogenes. RNAcentral's name for it is "bacterial SSU rRNA". It matches the Rfam family "Bacterial small subunit ribosomal RNA", at positions 1 to 767 of the family's 1533-position model. The record is from RNAcentral. Lineage: Bacteria; Bacillati; Bacillota; Bacilli; Caryophanales; Listeriaceae.